GCUUAUUUCAACAGCACAUAUAUUAAAACUGAAACAAUACAGAGAAGAUUGUCAUGACCCCUGUGCAAGGAUGACAUGCAAAUUUGUGAAGCAUUCCACAGUUUU
Erinaceus europaeus (western European hedgehog) is the source of this 105-nucleotide non-coding RNA. The record is from Rfam. NCBI's taxonomy places the organism in Eukaryota, Metazoa, Chordata, Mammalia, Eulipotyphla, Erinaceidae.